Molecule: ribosomal RNA, 251 nt
Filed under: uncultured bacterium
Lineage: Bacteria
Description: partial 16S ribosomal RNA
Rfam family: Bacterial small subunit ribosomal RNA
Source: RNAcentral
GACGUAGGUGGCGAACGUUAUCCGGAUUUAUUGGGCGUAAAGGAUGCGUAGCCGGUAAAACAAGUUACUACUUGACGUCGAGCUCAACUUGACUGAAAUUAGUAAUACUAUUUUGCUAGAGAUUGGGAGAAGUUGAUGGAAAUCUAUGUGGAGGGGUGAAAUUCGUAGAUAUUGGGUAGAACACCGGUGGCGAAGGCGGCCACCUGGGAAGUUACUGACGCUGAGACGCGAAAGCGUGGGGAGCAAACAGG